Molecule: ribosomal RNA, 993 nt
Filed under: Erythrobasidium clade sp. LM139
Lineage: Eukaryota; Fungi; Basidiomycota; Cystobasidiomycetes; Erythrobasidiales; Erythrobasidiaceae
Description: eukaryotic LSU rRNA
Rfam family: Eukaryotic small subunit ribosomal RNA (bases 1-362)
Source: RNAcentral
CCCCAAGAGUUCGGGCCGCACGCGCGCUACACUGACCGAACCAGCGAGUUUAUUUCCUUGGCCGGAAGGCCUGGGUAAUCUUGUGAAAUUCGGUCGUGAUGGGGAUAGAGCAUUGCAAUUAUUGCUCUUCAACGAGGAAUACCUAGUAAGCGUGAGUCAUCAGCUCGCGUUGAAUUCGUCCCUGCCCUUUGUACACACCGCCCGUCGCUACUACCGAUUGAAUGGCUUAGUGAGGCCUUCGGAUUGGCUUCUGGGAGCCGGCAACGGCACCUAGUCGCUGAGAAGUUUGACGAACUUGGUCAUUUAGAGGAAGUAAAAGUCGUAACAAGGUUUCCGUAGGUGAACCUGCGGAAGGAUCAUUAAUGAAUUUUAGGACGUUCUUUUUAGAAGUCCGACCCUUUCAUUUUCUUACACCGUGCACACACUUCUUUUUUACACACACUUUUAACACCUUAGUAUAAGAAUGUACUAGUCUCUUAAUUGAGCAUAAAUAAAAACAAAACUUUCAGCAACGGAUCUCUUGGCUCUCGCAUCGAUGAAGAACGCAGCGAAUUGCGAUAAGUAAUGUGAAUUGCAGAAUUCAGUGAAUCAUCGAAUCUUUGAACGCACCUUGCACUCUUUGGUAUUCCGAAGAGUAUGUCUGUUUGAGUGUCAUGAAACUCUCAACCCCCCUAUUUUGUAAUGAGAUGGGCGUGGGCUUGGAUUAUGGUUGUCUGUUGGCGUAAUUGCCGGCUCAACUGAAAUACACGAGCAACCCUACUGAAAUAAACGGUUUGGCUUGGCGUAAUAAUUAUUUCGCUAAGGACGUUUUCUUCAAUUAUAAGAGGGGCUUCUAAUUCGCUUCUAAUAGCAUUUAAGCUUUAGACCUCAAAUCAGUCCGGGACUACCCGCUGAACUUAAGCAUAUCAAUAAGCCGGAGGAAAAGAAACUAACAGGGAUUCCCCUAGUAACGGCCAAUGGAAAUGGGGAAAAACUCAACUUUGAAAAUCUGGG